GAGAGAUUAGUGAUCGAACAUGCCAUGUAUCUGGUUACCACCGUAUAUUUUCUAAUCGCCCUUUCAGACCUGCAACCCCCAGCUCGGCGACUCCAUCCAAGGUGAGGCGGGAUCUGUUGGAAGAGUUUGAGGAGGCGGGAGGAAUUCAGAGCUUGGCCUUGGGUGUGUUGGAGUGAGAGAGGCCGGUGGAGGGUUCCACUGGGUAGUGACGAAAUAGGGGAGAGAGAAUAGAAGGGAUGGAGAAGAGAGAGAGAGAGAGGCUGGAGAUGGAGACGGUGAAGACAGUAGUGUUCCACCCCCAGACGUGCAGUAAUACUAGAGCGCCGCCACUAUUGGAGAGGUCCACCACUGUAGGGUGAUGAAAUAGGCGUGAGAGGGAGAGGGAGAGAGAGUUGUAACGGGUCUCCGCUUAGACCAUCUUUGGGUGUAAAUAUUUUCGUAGCCCACACUGUUGUUUUUCUCAGAGACUGAGCACUAUCGUUGUUGCAGGCGGUGGCAGCCAUGCCCGGUGACUUCUCCAACAAAAAGGAUCUCUCCAGAAAUCCUUCCAACUGUCGCAACUGUCGAAUCCAGGCAAAGCCCUAUUUUUCUCGAGGGAGAGAGAGGUCGAAUGUGGAGGGGUUCGCCGUUGCUGCAACAGUGGCGGUGAUGAAACAGGGGCAAGAAGGAGAAAGAACGAAGGGAGUAGGGGGGAGAAUGAAGGGGACGAAGAGAGAAAGAGAGGGAGGGAGCCCUUCGCCGGUGGUCGUCGUUGCCUAUGGCGAUUAUGCUGAGAGGGAGAGAGAAUGAAGGGCUCGUCGCCUUCGUCAAGCAAAAUAGCAGUGGCCAUCAUUAUUUUCGGCUAUGAUGACGCCGGUGGUAGUUCUUUGUUCACCAUCAAGAAGACGAUGAACAGAGAUGAAGAUGGAGGAAGGAGAAGAAGAGGAAGAAGGAGAAAGAGAAGAAGAAGAGGGGGAAAGAGAGAGAGAGAGAACGGGGAAGGGACCUGGCCGGAGGUGGAGGGGAUAAUGCCGGUUCGCCACCGCUGUGUCGAGAGUUGGAAGAGAUGAUGAACAUUGUUUUUUCAGUUCGCUGUGAGAGAGGACCCACUUGUAAAAUGUGGGUCUGAUUCAAGGUUUUCACUGAUUGAAAGACCAUUUGGUAUUCACCCUCUCCUUUUCUUCCUCUGAGCUCAGUGUUGACACGACUUCUUGCUCGACUAAUCGGCAUGAGUAGCCAGUGGGUGGCACUUUCUUCUGUCAUUUUUGGUUGCCAGCACAGUGCCCAACCCCGGUCGGUGCAGUCAUUGUUCCACAACCUAGCACCUAGUGAGGGAGACAUUGGCAUCCCCAACCGACAACUGCAGUAAUGACGGAAAAUACCUUGGGGGAGAAGCACCGGCAUAUGACAAUGGGAAAUACCUUUCAGAUCAGAACUAUUCAUCGGGAACAUCAUCUACAGAGUGUACCUCAAGCUAUGUUAUCUAUAAUGACACUUAUUUUGGAGGAGAAGGUUUCCCAACCUCUUUUAGAUGCGAGUUUUGAAAUCUUCUGAAGGAUGAAGAGGUGGGGAUGGCUUUGAAGUGUAACUAUACUCUUGGAUUUUGAACUGGAUGAUGGGGUUGAUGUGCGUUAUGGAGGCCUCGGUCUUCGACAACUUGGAGUCGCAGUCAGCCAUUGCAAGCUUGAACCACUGGUGGCAAAUUUUAUGAAAGUUUUAUGUGCAACCAGGAGAUUUACAAAUAUGCCAUGAUGGAGAUGGCAUUGGACUCUCCUGAUCUACCUAUGGGAAUGCUCUCUGAUAUCCAUUUAAAAAGAUGCAUGACCACAUUCUCUCGUUUAUUCCGUUGCACUCACUGUUUUCUCCAAUCACUCUAUUAAAAAUUUACAGCUAAGAAAUGGGAGGAUCAUUUAAUUUUUCAGGUGAGGAAACUCUCUUACAGUUCAUAGAAACUGUGAAAUCAACAGAGGAGAUGGGACAGUAAGUUCAUGCUGUUUCGUCAGAUUUCAGCCAGAGAUGGUUUACGCUCAUGACUCUACCAGGCGCUUUAUCUUCAGGGACUAUCUGGAUAUUGCAGAUAAUGCAGCAGCUGCAUUAGAGACUGUCCGGGACAUAAAUGUGGCCUCACAUCUCAUAGUAGACCUGACUGGCUCAUGGUUUAUAUACUUGCAGAUCGAGUUAUGGAGUAACAGUUAAAAACAUUUUUGCUGUUGAAUCAAGUGCUUUCCCUUCUUAUGAAGAAAUCAAAUUACCAAACAAGGUUCUCUUGUGGUGUGGUACUGGAAGUUCUAAUCUACUCAGGCACUUGCAUAAAGGGUUCUUACCUUCCUGUUCCAGGCUAUAUGUUUGGCAAGGCGAUUAUUUGUUCUGAUGCCGCAGCAGAAGCUGCUAGGACACCAAGAAGUGAAGAAGGCAGGUGUGAAGGCUUUAGGAAGGAAGAAACCCCUUGAAUUCAACGAGUACGCUGUCUACGAUCCAAAACAGGUAUGCAUAAGGUUCUUGGUGGCUGUCAGAUACGAGGAGAAUAGAUACAGAAGAAUGACCGGAAGAUGCAGAAAUGGAGAUCCCAAGAAAAGGAAAGAUAGAGCGAGGAGAAGGGAAUGUACAUAUAUGCCUUUUUUGCCCUGUUCCUUGUUUCCUUCUCAUAGGUAGGCUUGGGUAGCAGCAAGCAGCAAACCUGUGCAUGUUUUUUGUAAAGUUUACAAGAACUCUGUAACUUUUUGAAACAGUCAAAAGAUCUAGCCAGGUUCCUCUCCUCCA
This is an RNA transcript of Nelumbo nucifera (sacred lotus), 2739 nucleotides long. It is a transcript of the gene named protein ADP-ribosyltransferase PARP3-like, with no coding region annotated. The record is from RefSeq and is a predicted model, not a curated record. Lineage: Eukaryota; Viridiplantae; Streptophyta; Magnoliopsida; Proteales; Nelumbonaceae.